ACCUGGUCCGUUUUUCAACUUCCGACAGGGUAGCAUGUGGUUGGUGGAAAAUGCGCCAAUCGGGAAAGGGGUGGGCGGUUGAGAUGAUUGCUUUCCUUUCUGAAUUUCUGUGGAAUGUCGUUUUUUCCCAAAGAGCUCUUCGUCAAAUUGCGAAUUUUCUGUCCAGCCUACCUGAACACUGGCCUGAAAUGCCAGUAACCCUACAGUCGGCAUUUCCCCUCGUACGAAGCUACCGAAGCGAUCCUUUUGGUAUUUUCCCCAACCUAACAAGAGUGAGGCCAUAUGUGUUUCCCCGGCAAGGAUGCCCUGGGGCAUGGUACAUUGGGAAAACCGAG
Chiloscyllium plagiosum (whitespotted bambooshark) is the source of this 335-nucleotide non-coding RNA. NCBI's taxonomy places the organism in Eukaryota, Metazoa, Chordata, Chondrichthyes, Orectolobiformes, Hemiscylliidae. The record is from RefSeq and is a predicted model, not a curated record.